RNAcentral lists this transfer RNA (82 nucleotides) under Schistosoma mansoni. It matches the Rfam family "tRNA". Rfam says of the family: Transfer RNA (tRNA) molecules are approximately 80 nucleotides in length. Their secondary structure includes four short double-helical elements and three loops (D, anti-codon, and T loops). Further hydrogen bonds mediate the characteristic L-shaped molecular structure. tRNAs have two regions of fundamental functional importance: the anti-codon, which is responsible for specific mRNA codon recognition, and the 3' end, to which the tRNAs corresponding amino acid is attached (by aminoacyl-tRNA synthetases). tRNAs cope with the degeneracy of the genetic code in two manners: having more than one tRNA (with a specific anti-codon) for a particular amino acid; and 'wobble' base-pairing, i.e. permitting non-standard base-pairing at the 3rd anti-codon position. The record is from RNAcentral. Lineage: Eukaryota; Metazoa; Platyhelminthes; Trematoda; Strigeidida; Schistosomatidae.
UCAGGAUGGCCGAGCUGUCCAAGGCGCUGCGUUCAGGUCGCAGUCCACUCUGUGGGCGUGGGUUCGAAUCCCACUCCUGACA